CGAACGCUGGCGGCGUGCUUAACACAUGCAAGUCGAACGGUGAAGCGCCUUCCUUUUUGGUGGGUGUGGAUGAGUGGCGAACGGGUGAGUAACACGUGAGUAACCUGCCCCCUUCUUCUGGAUAACCGCAUGAAAGUGUGGCUAAUACGGGAUAUUCUGGGUCUGUCGCAUGAUGGGUCUGGGAAAGAUAUUGUUUCGGUGGGGGAUGGGCUCGCGGCCUAUCGGCUUGUUGGUGGGGUGAUGGCCUAUCCAGGCGGUGACGGGUAGCCGGCCUGCGAGGGUGGACGGUCACACUGGGGAUGAGACACGGCCCAGACUCCUACGGGAGGCAGCAGUGGGGAAUAUUGCACAAUGGGCGCAAGCCUGAUGCAGCGACGCCGCGUGAGAGAUGGAGGCCUUCGGGUUGUGAACCUCUUUCGCCAGUGAAGCAGGCCUGCCUCGUUUGUGGGUGGGUUGACGGUAGCUGGAUAAGAAGCGCCGGCUAACUACGUG
RNAcentral lists this ribosomal RNA (492 nucleotides) under uncultured bacterium. RNAcentral describes it as "partial 16S ribosomal RNA". It matches the Rfam family "Bacterial small subunit ribosomal RNA", at positions 30 to 507 of the family's 1533-position model. The record is from RNAcentral.